GCACUGCUGAGGAGUCCCACAGCAGGACGAAACGGCAGUCUGGUGC
Molecule: non-coding RNA, 46 nt
Filed under: Schistosoma curassoni
Lineage: Eukaryota; Metazoa; Platyhelminthes; Trematoda; Strigeidida; Schistosomatidae
Source: RNAcentral